GACGAACGCUGGCGGCGUGCUUAACACAUGCAAGUCGAACGAAGAGCGAUGGAAGCUUGCUUCUAUCAAUCUUAGUGGCGAACGGGUGAGUAACGCGUAAUCAACCUGCCCUUCAGAGGGGGACAACAGUUGGAAACGACAGCUAAUACCGCACACGAUCUAAUGUCGGCAUCGAGGAUAGAUGAAAGGAGGCCUCUACAUGUAAGCUAUCACUGAAGGAGGGGAUUGGGUCUGAUUAGCUAGUUGGAGGGGUAACGGCCCACCAAGGCGAUGAUCAGUAGCCGGCGGAGAGGAAGGACGGCCACAAUGGGACUGAGACACCGGCCAGACUCCUAAGGGAGGGAGCAGUGGGGGAUCUUGCGGAAUGGACGAAAGUCUGACGGAGCAACGCCGCGGGAGGGAGGACGGCCUUCGGGUUGUAAAGCUCUGUUAAUCGGGACGAAAGGCCUUCUUGCGAAUAGUGAGAAGGAUUGACGGUACCGGAAGAGAAAGCCACGGCUAACUACGUG
Molecule: ribosomal RNA, 509 nt
Filed under: uncultured bacterium
Lineage: Bacteria
Description: partial 16S ribosomal RNA
Rfam family: Bacterial small subunit ribosomal RNA
Source: RNAcentral